This 253-nucleotide ribosomal RNA is filed under the name uncultured bacterium. Its description in RNAcentral is "partial 16S ribosomal RNA". It matches the Rfam family "Bacterial small subunit ribosomal RNA", at positions 524 to 776 of the family's 1533-position model. The record is from RNAcentral.
GACGUAGGGAGCGAGCGUUGUCCGGAUUUAUUGGGCGUAAAGAGCUCGUAGGCGGCUCGUCGCGUCGACCGUGAAAACCCGCAGCUUAACUGCGGGCUUGCGGUUGAUACGGGCGGGCUAGAGUUUGGUAGGGGAGACUGGAAUUCCUGGUGUAGCGGUGAAAUGCGCAGAUAUCAGGAGGAACACCGGUGGCGAAGGCGGGUCUCUGGGCCGAUACUGACGCUGAGGAGCGAAAGCGUGGGGAGCGAACAGG